This 393-nucleotide unclassified non-coding RNA is filed under the name fungal sp. RNAcentral's name for it is "partial internal transcribed spacer region". The stretch from base 1 to 46 matches the Rfam family "Eukaryotic small subunit ribosomal RNA", at positions 1786 to 1831 of the family's 1831-position model. Lineage: Eukaryota; Fungi. RNAcentral also lists the same sequence under 1 other name. The record is from RNAcentral.
AAGUCGUAACAAGGUUUCCGUAGGUGAACCUGCGGAAGGAUCAUUAACACGGUUAGAUUUUCCAUUUGGAUUGUCAGUCUAUUUUUCUUUAAUCGCCGCGCACCUUGUUAAAAAACGGACUUUGUUCGAACCAGGAAAUUGAGAGCAAGCUGCUUGAUUGAUGGGUGGCCUCUCGGUUGACAAACGACUUGGUUUUUGAAUCUCACGGUCCGUCAUCAAUCACUUGGAGCUUUCUUUUUGAUAAACACCUUUUCGUACUACUACCAGUCUGAAUCGUUUGAUCUCUCUGCCUCUUUUUCUUUUUUCUUUCUGAGAAAAGAGAGAGAGAGAGCGUUGGGAAAGAACAAAAAACAAAACUUUGAACAACUCUUAGCAACGGAUAUCUCGGUUCUC